GACUGCUCGCGCUUGAGCCUCCUUUCAUCGGAAGCAAGAAGAAUCACACACCUCCGGUUUACCGCGAUGAAGACUGCCCGCGCCUGAGCCUCCUUUCAUCGGAAGCAAGAAGAAUCACACACCUCUGGUUUACCGCGAUGAAGACUUCCCACGCCUGAGCAUCCUUUCACCUAGGUCUUCAUCGUAUUUUCACUAGAAAUUGGUAUUUCGAAAAAUCCUUGCCCGAGCCACAGCUCAUGAUUCUAGAGCUACCAGGAAACAAGUAAAGGUACUCCGGCAUAUAAUUGUCGUCUGUUGGUUUUCUUGCUUUUUCAUUGUGUUUUUCAAUCUUUCAAUGUUUCAGGUGGGGUCUAAAGUCAUUUUUGUUGUUCUUGGUGGUUCUGUUAGAUAGCAUAUGACCUAGAAGAAAAUAUUGUACAAUAAAUUAGUCGAUGAGGAAAAUGAGUUUAGGGAAAUAGCAUAUUGUUCAUCAGAAUUACAGGCAGAAGAGAAGCUGAGUUUCAUGAUUUGACAUCUCUGUUUCAUGUAAGCAUCUCUUACUCUCUUUCAGAAGAUAAUGAGAUUAGAGAAAUAGCCUAUUGUUGUAGCUAAAGAGAAGCUGGGUUUCAUGAUUUGGCAUAUCUGUUUCAUGUAAGCAUCUCUUACUCUCUUUCAGAAGAUAAUGAGAUUAGGGAAAUAACCUAUUGUUGUAGAUAUUCAUAUGAAUAUAAGAUAUUCUGUCCCAUAAAUUAUUAUAGUAUACUGUUUCAAUUUGGUUGCUCACAGUAUUUUAUGGUUCUUUAUUUGAUAACUCAAUGAUUUUAUGAUACUUUGAUUUAAGUAUCUAUUGUUAAUUUAAUGGUACUAUUUGUAAUUUGAUUCGAGGUUAAUAUAAUCUAGUACAUUUUUUUUUACUACGACUUGCAUUGAGCUCUUCUUUAAUUUUUAUUUAGUUAUUCGUGUCUGAAUUACUUCUUUUUCUUCCUAUAUAUGAUACUCCCCUCACAAUGAAUAGUUUGUAUGUAUAUGGUGUUUGCGAGUUCUGACUGUCAAUUUAGAAUUGAUAUGGUUGAUUUUGAGUAUUGAUAUAUUAUGGUUUAUGGGUCUGUAAUGCAUGAUGAAUUAAUCAAUUUAUGUGGUCCAUUGGUUUUUUUACAUAGCCUUCAAAUCACACGAGAGAGAUACACCGAGGCAAAAUUUGAACGAGCGACUGAUUUUAAGCUAUGUUAUGGAGUCUCGCGAUUGUGAAAUCCCUGAAUCCAGUCGUGAGGAGAGGAAUAGAAAACAUAGGGAGCGGUAUGCUUGUAAUGAGAGUCUACGUGCAGAGAGGAACUUGAGACGCCGAAAUGCUUACGCAACAAUGGAUCCUUCUAAGAAACGCAAAAUGCUAGAUGAUAUUAAUGAAAAGCGUCGCGGCAAAAGUAAUGCAACCAAGUCUACACUAACCGACGUCAAUGCUGCUCUAUUUCUUUGAUGCUGAGCAUAAGGUUGAAAAUAGAAUCAAAGGGGCAGAACGAAUGGAUGCAAGUUUUAUUAUCAACACUUUCUACCGUAACACAGAUCUUUCUUCGCGAGCUCGUCUGAUACUCUAAGCAAGAUCCGAUUAUUGACAGUGGUGUUGGUACAACAAAGGACGAAACAUUUUUUUUCGAGGAAAAAUGGGAGGCUCGACCCCAAUAUUCGCUCUCCCUUAUAGAAUUACGAGGUCCGACCUUACUUAGCUAAGCAAAGUAAUCAAUCUUUGUUCGAGGUUGUGUACGCCAGCCCCGACCUUGGAAUUCUCUAGCGGUACAUGGUACGA
Ipomoea nil (Japanese morning glory) is the source of this 1780-nucleotide long non-coding RNA. RefSeq lists it as uncharacterized. The transcript is spliced from 3 exons. NCBI's taxonomy places the organism in Eukaryota, Viridiplantae, Streptophyta, Magnoliopsida, Solanales, Convolvulaceae. The record is from RefSeq and is a predicted model, not a curated record.